This is a non-coding RNA of Podarcis lilfordi (Lilford's wall lizard), 72 nucleotides long. The record is from the annotation of a GenBank genome assembly. Lineage: Eukaryota; Metazoa; Chordata; Lepidosauria; Squamata; Lacertidae.
GCCAGUGUGGUGUAAUGGUUAGAGUGUUGGACUAGGACUUAGGAAACUAGGGUUCAAGUCCCUACUUGGGCA